UCUAUGGCCAUACCACCUUGAACAUGCCCAAUCUCCUCUGAUCUUGGAAGCUAAGCAGGGUCAGGCCUGGUUAAUAUUUGGUUGAUGGAGGGUGCGGAAGGGAAAGGAAGGGGAUGAAAGAA
Molecule: ribosomal RNA, 122 nt
Filed under: Erinaceus europaeus (western European hedgehog)
Lineage: Eukaryota; Metazoa; Chordata; Mammalia; Eulipotyphla; Erinaceidae
Source: RNAcentral